AAGAGUAUACAUAACUGAAUCGGGAAACAUUAAAUUUUCAUUACAUAUCGUCCGAAUACAUAAAUAGGAUUACAAAAUCCAAGAGAUUAAUACUUAAAUUGAGCUAACAACUGAAAACAUAAAGAAACUAAAUCUUAUAUACAAAAUAUAAGAUAACAUGACGCAGCUCAACUAGCAUAAUCCAAGUAUCUGAACUCCAUGCUUGCAGACCAUGAUAUCUCGAUCAACCUGUUUAUCUGAAAUCAAAUAAGUGGGCGAUGAGAACAGACACUUCGUCUCAGUGGAUUCCUACUAACCAGUUACUAUUGGUGUCUACACCGGGGGCAACCGAUGAACUAAAAGUUCAUUGAUCCUAAUUGUCAGUCUCUAACAUAAUUUCAUAACAUGAUUUCAUAAACAUAAUAAUAUAAAGAUGUAACACAAAUUAAUUAUCUUGUUCAUUUUAACAUAACUAAGACACUCUGAGGUGAGCCGAUCUCAGAGGCCUGACAUAUCUGUCGUCGAUGAUUAUACGCAUCGACACGACAUGAUGCUCACAAUCGUAACAUGAUUGGAUUCCUCGAAUCUCAUAACGUGGUACAUAAGUAACCACCAUGAUUGACUGACUUUCUUAACUUAACUUAAUUAUCUUGAUUGUUAUCCUGCCCAUGAAUUCCCUCCCAGGGUAUUUUUAACUUGUCCUGACUCCUGAUAGGUAAUUUCCCAAAGUGUGUUUGAUGCUAUAAAUAUAGUAUAUUAGUAUAUUGUCUACGGAAAGGUUCCGGAAUGAGUAAGGGUUUAAAACAAGUGACUAAGUUUGAAAAGUAGUAAAUAUGCAGGGUACUGUUCUGCUAUGCUCUCCUAGCGAAGUUAAUUAUCGCUUAACGAAUACACCAAUUCAGUACUCUUCUUUGCAUUUUCUAUAUAUAUUCAUUAAAUUGUCACCUACAAACCAUAUUCAUCCGGUCACAGUCAUUAACCAAUAUCCAUCAUUCAUAGUAGAGGUGGACUUGGGGAUUUAAUCCACCUCACACACAUUAUAAUCCUAAAUUCCUUAAUGUUAUCAUGCAUCAUAAUUUUGGGGAAUAUCUUUAACUUACUUUCUAAACUAGUGUUGUCAUACAUAUUCUUGAUUUGGGGAAACUAAGGUACUAAACUAAGUAGAGUUUAAGGCUCUAAGGGAACCCACCUGAAAAGAAGCUUGAACAAUAUCAGCGACACUUCAAGAGCUCGCCGAAACGCAUAAUUUGCAAGUGAAAUGCUAUAAACCCAUAAUCAAAAUUUUCUGCAUAAUUCUGCAUUAGAGCUCCAACUUCAAAGGCGUCCCCAGCCCUCAAUAUUGAUCCAAAUUAUACUGGCACCAAGACGACGGGAAUUUUGUCGGCUUUCCAGACAUGUAAGUAUUAUUCAAAACGGAUUUACGGUUUGUCAGAUAUGACUCAUUACUGAAGACAGGUCCAAACUCAAAAAUGCAGAAAGUUUUUCUUCCAUUACCAAUCCAAUUCCUUCUUUUCUUUUAUUUAUUCUAACUCCUCUGUUUCUUCAAAAUCCAACCAGUACCAUAUUUUAAACACAAGUUUACAGCUCCAAUCACAACCCAUGAUUCCUUGACCACAAGAAAUUCACAUGCAAGUGCUCCAAAAUAUAAAUUAGUGAGUUUUCAUAACACACCUAAACAAAACAUCAGAGGAAUAGGUGAGAGCUUGAUGAUUAUUACCUUAAUUGAUGGCAGAAUUCCUCACAUGCAAAGUUACCAAAAUCCAAUUCAAGAUAGUAAA
This 1757-nucleotide long non-coding RNA is filed under the name Trifolium pratense (red clover). RNAcentral describes it as "long non-coding RNA (TPRA_LNC001310)". The record is from RNAcentral. Lineage: Eukaryota; Viridiplantae; Streptophyta; Magnoliopsida; Fabales; Fabaceae.